Molecule: ribosomal RNA, 481 nt
Filed under: uncultured bacterium
Lineage: Bacteria
Description: partial 16S ribosomal RNA
Rfam family: Bacterial small subunit ribosomal RNA
Source: RNAcentral
GACGAACGUUGGCGGCGUGCUUAAUACAUGCAAGUCAACUGAAGCAGUGGUAGCAAUAUCGCUGUGGAGGUGGCGCACGGGUGAGUAACACGUAGGUAAUCUGCCUUCAGGUCUGGCAUAACUCCGGGAAACCGGGGCUAAUAGCAGAUGAUGCAGCGGCUCGACAUCGAGACAGUUGUUAAAGCUAUGGCGCCUGAAGAUGAGCCUGCGUCUGAUUAGCUAGUUGGCGGGGUAACGGCCCACCAAGGCAACGAUCAGUAGCUGGUCUGAGAGGAUGAUCAGCCACACUGGAACUGAGACAAGGUCCAGCCUCCUACGGGAGGCAGCAGUAAGGAAUAUUGCUCAAUGGGAGAAAUCCUGAAGCAGCAACGCCGCGUGAGGGACGAAGGGCUUUUGAUUGUAAACCUCUGUAGUGAGAGAAAAAAAUCCCAAUCUUUGGGACAUGAUGGUAUCUCAAAAGUAAGCCCCGGCUAACUACGUG